CCUACGGGAGGCAGCAGUGGGGAAUAGUGCGCAAUGGGCGAAAGCCUGACGCAGCGACGCCGCGUGAGGGAUGAAGGUCUUCGGAUCGUAAACCUCUGUCAGCAGGGAAGAACGGUCACGGGGCUAAUCAGCAGUGAAUUGACGGUACCUGCAAAGGAAGAACCGGCUAACGCCGUGCCAGCAGCCGCGGUAAUACGGAGGGUGCGAGCGUUAAUCGGAAUUCCGGGGCGUAAAGCGCGCGUAGGCGGUAUGUCAAGUCAAGGGUGAACUCCCCGCGCUCAACGUGGGAACUGCCUUUGAAACUGGCAAACUGGAGUGUGUGAGAGGAUAG
Molecule: ribosomal RNA, 331 nt
Filed under: uncultured bacterium
Lineage: Bacteria
Description: partial 16S ribosomal RNA
Rfam family: Bacterial small subunit ribosomal RNA
Source: RNAcentral